GGUCUUUAUCACUUAUGGUUUACCAUUUAGAAAUGCAUAUCACUUAAUUAAAUGGAAAAGGGGGAAUAACUCUCAUAUGGAGUCUCCGUAAAGCUUCGGUCCAAAUGAAUAUCCUAAUCCUGAAGAUGUAACGAGCAAUUUGGUAAAAUAAAUUUGUCGUAAUCUUUAACGGUUGCGAAGGAGUAGUGGCCACAAGAAAAACAGUGUUUGGGGAGAUAACUCUUACAACGUAAAGUAUUUUGUUACGCAGUUGUAAAUUUUUUAAAGCGUAUAAACUAUACGAUAUCAUAUUCCAAAUAUCUAAGCGACAUCUUUUGAAACAUCAAUAAUACGCAAGAAAAAAAUU
RNAcentral lists this long non-coding RNA (346 nucleotides) under Mytilus galloprovincialis (Mediterranean mussel). Lineage: Eukaryota; Metazoa; Mollusca; Bivalvia; Mytilida; Mytilidae. The record is from RNAcentral.